RNAcentral lists this transfer RNA (78 nucleotides) under Candidatus Azobacteroides pseudotrichonymphae genomovar. CFP2. RNAcentral describes it as "tRNA-Asn". It matches the Rfam family "tRNA". Rfam says of the family: Transfer RNA (tRNA) molecules are approximately 80 nucleotides in length. Their secondary structure includes four short double-helical elements and three loops (D, anti-codon, and T loops). Further hydrogen bonds mediate the characteristic L-shaped molecular structure. tRNAs have two regions of fundamental functional importance: the anti-codon, which is responsible for specific mRNA codon recognition, and the 3' end, to which the tRNAs corresponding amino acid is attached (by aminoacyl-tRNA synthetases). tRNAs cope with the degeneracy of the genetic code in two manners: having more than one tRNA (with a specific anti-codon) for a particular amino acid; and 'wobble' base-pairing, i.e. permitting non-standard base-pairing at the 3rd anti-codon position. The record is from RNAcentral. Lineage: Bacteria; Pseudomonadati; Bacteroidota; Bacteroidia; Bacteroidales.
UCUUCCUUAGCUCAGGUUGGUUAGAGCAUCUGACUGUUAAUCAGAGGGUCCUUGGUUCAAAUCCAAGAGGGAGAGCAA